AUUUUUAUAUACAGUUUAUAUUAAAUUCCAUUAUUUUGUUGAUGUUUACAAAAAAAAAAAAGUAUGCUUUGCAAAAGAAGUCUUUAGAUUUCGUAUGUCGUUCUUAACAUUGACGGGAAGGUUAUUUUCUAUAACUGACAGAUGUGAUGUGACAUUUGCUGCAGAUGAUUAUCAUAUCGCUUUGCUCCGAUGACGCAACUGUCUCUAGGUUGUUCGUACGUCUUAGAAAACGUCGAGUGCGAUUCGCGCUAACUUCGAUCCGAAUUUUUGGUUACGCUCGCUCGUAUUGCGAUUUUAAUAUUUUUUAUGCGAUUCUUCGAUUUUAUUUUAUGAUCUUCAGGUUGAUAUAUCGCUACUACAACGGAAUUUAGAGCAGUGGUAUUGGUUUGCGAGAUGAAGACUCGGAGCGAAUAUCAUUUUAAAAAUCGUAUUAAUGUAGCAAAGUAUAAGAGCGAUAUUUGUUAUUUUAAUUUUUUAAAAAUGUCAUUUUUGUAAUUUUUCUUACGCAUUAUGUACUUAAAAAAAAGGAAAGACUUUUUUUUUUUCCUUUUAGAUGCAACACCUUCCUAAUUUGCAUAAAUCCCUUGUAGGAGCGUAAGAAGCUAUCACCAUAAAUCUUGCCAUCUUUUAUUGCAAAUUUUAAACGUGAAUACGAAAGACUAAAUAUAUCAAAACAAAAUGUUAAAAUUAUGCAAAUUAAUAGCAAGAGAAAAAGAGAUCGAAUGCAAAAUCGUUCGCUUUUAGUUUGGUCACGAUGUGUUGGUUUGUUUUUCGCUCUGAUUCAGUUAGAGGAAUCGGUCGAGUGUUGAGGUAUGUUUACAUUUCUAUUUUUUCUAGUUAGAAAAAGAAUUAGCAUUUUUUCUCCCCUCUAGUAUUUUGGCUUAUAUCAAUCAACAACAUAACACCGCGUUAACUUGGCAUUGAUCUCGACUAGCGAUGCGAAACUUGCGAUUUUUUUUUUCCUCUCUCUUGUAAGUAAACAAAUCUAGACAAUGGCAAUUGGUAGCUCAUAAAUUCCACUAAAUCACGCGAUGUU
This 1036-nucleotide long non-coding RNA is filed under the name Androctonus crassicauda. The record is from RNAcentral. Lineage: Eukaryota; Metazoa; Arthropoda; Arachnida; Scorpiones; Buthidae.